CAGCAGCCGCGGUAAUACGAAGGGUGCAAGCGUUAAUCGGAAUUACUGGGCGUAAAGCGUGCGUAGGUGGUGGUUUAAGUCCGUUGUGAAAGCCCUGGGCUCAACCUGGGAAUUGCAGUGGAUACUGGGUCACUAGAGUGUGGUAGAGGAUAGUGGAAUUUCCGGUGUAGCAGUGAAAUGCGUAGAGAUCGGAAGGAACAUCUGUGGCGAAGGCGACUAUCUGGGCCAACACUGACACUGAGGCACGAAAGCGUGGGGAGCAAACAGGAUUAGAUACCCGUGUAGUCCCUGUCUCUUAUAC
This 301-nucleotide ribosomal RNA is filed under the name uncultured bacterium. Its description in RNAcentral is "partial 16S ribosomal RNA". It matches the Rfam family "Bacterial small subunit ribosomal RNA", at positions 509 to 807 of the family's 1533-position model. The record is from RNAcentral.